UUUAUGGAGAGUUUGAUCCUGGCUCAGGAUGAACGCUGGCGGCGUGCCUAAUACAUGCAAGUCGAGCGAACAGAUAAGGAGCUUGCUCCUUUGACGUUAGCGGCGGACGGGUGAGUAACACGUGGGUAACCUACCUAUAAGACUGGAAUAACUCCGGGAAACCGGGGCUAAUGCCGGAUAACAUGUUGAACCGCAUGGUUCUACAGUGAAAGACGGUCUUGCUGUCACUUAUAGAUGGACCCGCGCCGUAUUAGCUAGUUGGUGGGGUAACGGCCUACCAAGGCGACGAUACGUAGCCGACCUGAGAGGGUGAUCGGCCACACUGGAACUGAGACACGGUCCAGACUCCUACGGGAGGCAGCAGUAGGGAAUCUUCCGCAAUGGGCGAAAGCCUGACGGAGCAACGCCGCGUGAGUGAUGAAGGUCUUCGGAUCGUAAAGCUCUGUUGUUAGGGAAGAACAAAUGUGUAAGUAACUGUGCACAUCUUGACGGUACCUAACCAGAAAGCCACGGCUAACUACGUGCCAGCAGCCGCGGUAAUACGUAGGUGGCAAGCGUUAUCCGGAAUUAUUGGGCGUAAAGCGCGCGUAGGCGGUUUUUUAAGUCUGAUGUGAAAGCCCACGGCUCAACCGUGGAGGGUCAUUGG
RNAcentral lists this ribosomal RNA (646 nucleotides) under Staphylococcus pseudintermedius. RNAcentral's name for it is "bacterial SSU rRNA". It matches the Rfam family "Bacterial small subunit ribosomal RNA", at positions 1 to 629 of the family's 1533-position model. Lineage: Bacteria; Bacillati; Bacillota; Bacilli; Caryophanales; Staphylococcaceae. The record is from RNAcentral.